CCUACGCCAGACCGGCCUCGACAUAUUUGGAAGACUAAAGUGAUGGUUUGACAAGGAAACUGCACCACAACCGCGAAAAACACUCAUGCGAGCUAAUCUCCUUUAUGACCUUUGGAAAUGUUUGUUGUGAGAGCCGAAAGCGUUUGAGAAUACGUGCUAUAUAAUUAUGAGGAAGUGGUGACCUGAAAAAUAGCCCUGAGGUUAAGUUAGGCUAAUGGGAAUGAGGGGAAAGGAGGAAAGGGAGGAAGUAGGUGAAAGUGGGCAAAGAAAAGGAAGAAGGUAGUUUGCGGGCUUUUUAUGGUUAAGAAAGUAGUAUGGUUAAGAGAGUAUGGUUAACCCCUUGAGUGCGGUUUCCUACAAGAAGACAUCAAGCUACAGGAAUGGAACAAAAAGUGGCUGCUACAAUUCAAUGAAGAAAAACGUAAAGUUCUGCACCUUGGGGAGGAGAUAUCCAGUAUACCAAUACCACAUGGGAAACACUCCAUUAUCCACCACAGAGACAGAGAAAGACCUCGAAGCAUAUGUUACCAGGCUACCAGUGAAAACCAAAUCCGUGCCAAUCGCAGCGGACGGGUUAAGUAUGGUUAAGAAAGUAGUUUGCGGGCUGUUUAUGGUUAUGUGCCCGUAAUAAUCUUAGACGUAUCGGCGCCUCAGUUCACCUAUUUAAAAAGUCUCUCGUAGAAGCUGCUGGGAUUUCCGUGGACUCUUUUGUGAUCCUAGUGUUAGUUUUACACGACCUCUGCGCCCUCAACUGGAAAAUCACCCUUGAAAACCAGGUUAAUCUUCUCUGUGGCAAAAUAGUCGUAAUGGGAUCAUCAUACGUUUAAAAAUUUGAACCUUGAAGAACUCUUGCCUCGGCGCGGUGACAAAGGCAUCAAGGACAGUACACAGAGGCAUGACCGUGAAUUUUACAUGCCCAUUUCCUCAAGCAUUUGGGGGCUAAUACACCCACGUUCCAUAAGGCUUUAGUAGAAGUUUUGGUGGAUAUUUCCGUGGGUAGUUUUAUAAGCCUAGUAUUACUUUGGCAAGAUUUCUGCACCAUGAACAUAUCCUCAAGCAUUUCGGAGCUAACACACCCACGUCCCAUAAGGCUUUAGUAGAGGUUUUGGUGGGUAUUUCCAUGGGUAGAUUUAUAAUGAUAGUGUUAGUUUGACAAGGUUUCUGCACCAUGAACAUAUCCUCAAGCAUUUCGGAGCUAACACACCCACGUCCCAUAAAGCUUUAGUAGAGGUUUUGGUGGGUAUUUCCAUGGGUAGAUUUAUAAUGAUAGUGUUAGUUUGACAAGGUUUCUGCACCAUGAACAUAUCCUCAAGCAUUUCGGAGCUAACACACCCACGUCCCAUAAAGCUUUAGUAGAGGUUUUGGUGGGUAUUUCCGUGGGUAGUUUUAUAAGCCUGGUGUUAGUUUGAUAAGGUUUCUGCACCAUGAACAUGAUAAAACAUUCUUGAAAACUCAUAUCCUCAAAAAAUUCGGGGCCUAUCACACUCACGUUUCGUAAGGCUUUAGUGGAGGUUUUGGUGGGCAUUUCCAUGGGUAGUUUUAUAAGCCUAGUAUUAGUUUGAUAAGGUUUCUGCACCAUGAACACGAAAAAACAUUCUUGAAAACCCAUAUCCUCAAGUAUUUCGGGGCCAAUCACACCCACGUCCCAUACGGCUUCAGUAGAGGUAUUGGUGGGCAUUUCCAUGGGUAGUUUUAUAAGCCUAGUGUUAGUUUGAUAAGGUUUCUGCACCAUGAACACAAAAAAACAUUCAUGAAAACCCAUAUCCUCAAUCAUUUCGGGCUAUCACACCCACGUCCCAUACGGCUUCAGUAGAGGUUUUGGUGGGCAUUUCCAUGGGUAGUUUUAUUAGCCUAGUAUUAGUUUGACAAGGUUUUUGCACCACGAACACGAAAAACAUUCUUGAAAACUCAUAUCUUCAAUCAUUUCGGGCUAACACACCCACGUCUCAUAAGGCUUCACUAGAGCUUUUGGCAGGUAUUUCCAUGGAUAGUUUUAUAAGCCUAGUGUUAGUUUGACAGGAUUUCUGUAUCAUGAACAGUUGAACACGAAAAAACAUUAUUGAAAACCCACAUCCCAAGCAUUUCGGGGCUUACACACCCACGUCUCAUAAGGUUUUAGUAGAGCCUUUGAUGGAUAGUUUUAUACAUAAGCCUUGUAUUACUGUGACAAGCUUUCUGCACCAUGAACAUGAAAAUCACUUAAGAGAACGUGACUAAUCUUCUUUGGAAAUAUUUGUUCUGUGAGCCGAAAGCGUCUGAAAACAUACAUAUCCUAGUCCUACAAACGGUCACACGCGUCAAUGAGAUACUGAUACAGACAUGCUGGGAGAGAGCCUUGAGUGUUGUACCUUCUAAAUAUAACGCCUAAUUGUCUGUGUAAAUUCAUCAGCUCCUACGCAUUGUUGGCAAUCACAUGAGGGAGAAAAAACGUAAAAUGGAAUACUGAAUGAAGUACAAAAACGAACCACGUACUGUGAUAAUGAAAAAUGUUUAUCAGCCUCCAUUUUUGUCAGUCGAUCACUUUCACAUCUAAUCUCAGUUUUCCAUGAGCUGUUUUGUCUUCCUGGAACGAGUGCUGGCUGAUAGGGCGCAUCCAAAUUGACGGAGACACUGAGCGAAUUCUUAAAUAUUUUGCCGCCCGACCACACACAUUUGACAAGGCUUUCGUGCGAGUUGUGGGCAUUCCCAGAGGUGGCGUAUGACCCUGGAGAUAGUCUGACGAUUCUCCUGUACAAUAAACGUGAAAGGAACGCUCAUUAGAACCCGACUCAUCUCCUUUUCGGCCUUUGGAAUUUAUUGAUGUGAGAGGCGGAAGCGUCUGAGAAUAUCGACCUAGAUUCCCCCCCAGCAGGUCAGUCAAUCACGUGAAUCGUUACAAAGUUGACGUGGCGUUCGUCCAUCACGUUGGCAUAAGGUCAGGUUAUCGUGGACAGGAGAGAGCCACACACACACACACACACACACACACACACACACACACACACACACACACACACACACACACACACACACACACACACACACAGACGGCAAAAAAUCAAAAACGUGUAGAACUUCAGCUGUAAAUACACAUACGUAAGAAACAACUCUAUAUACACACACACCACAUUUAUUAUUGCUGUAACUCAAUUCUGCAGUGUAGAGUAUUUCCAUACAUACUACCCACAAAUUUUAGAGUUCAAAGCCGCUUGUGUAUACUCCAUUCAUGUUAACCUUGACUAUAAGCCCCUCCCACCCCAGUCAAGCAUCCACCAAUAAGAUUCAGCCAUUCCCUUUAUCCGCCAAUCACAGGGAACGAGGUGGGGAGAGGGGCGUGGUCUGAUUGGUGGCUGGCCAUUGAUAAACACGCAUUAGUGGAAGGGGGCGGGGCUUCUCUGCCAACUUAACGUGGAUAUAGUGUCAGGUCCCUCCACGCGCAGUUUUUCAUGACGUCAUCGGCAGUGGGAUGAAGAAAACGAUAAGGAAGGUUUUAUGGGAGACUUAGAUACUUUUUUAUAAUGGCAGUUUUUUUUUUUUUUUUUUUUUUUAACUUGUCACGGCGCACAAAGGGAGAAACUUGGUACGAGGAUGAAAGACUUGAUAUUUUCUUGAUCUUGAUGUAUGAUGUGUAUGAAGUAUGUAUGUAAAGUGUAAGUUGAAGGAGAUUCCAACCCCCGACCACCUCCCCCAUCACCACUACCAUCACCACCUCCCUAUCAAAAGGUCAUCACUACCACCACCAUCACCACAUCAGAACAUCAUCACCACCACCACCAUGUUAAUGAUCACCACUCCCCCAUCACCUCCACCACUACCUCCAAAGCAAAACACCAUCAUCACCACCACCAUCACCACCACCACCAC
Molecule: long non-coding RNA, 3843 nt
Organism: Eriocheir sinensis (Chinese mitten crab)
Lineage: Eukaryota; Metazoa; Arthropoda; Malacostraca; Decapoda; Varunidae
Exons: 3
Source: RefSeq, a predicted model, not a curated record